This 349-nucleotide long non-coding RNA is filed under the name Cricetulus griseus (Chinese hamster). RNAcentral's name for it is "lncRNA (ENSCGRG00015037964.1)". The record is from RNAcentral. Lineage: Eukaryota; Metazoa; Chordata; Mammalia; Rodentia; Cricetidae.
GGAGACUUGAAGGGGACUGUGUCUCUCUUUUCGUUUCACAUUUGGGCUUGCAUACAGACCACUGCUAUGCCAGCUGGCUAGGUCGCUCUGUACUGAAAUGAACUCACCAUAUGUUUUGCAGAACAGGAAGCCUAUCCAAACUGUGAUCAACACCCCUCCCGCAUUGGUUGAUGUAUUUGAACACUUAGUCCCCAGUGGGUGUGCUGUGGAACUUUGAGGAUAUGGAGACUUGCUGGAGGAAGUACAUCACCAUCACCGGGGGCCAGCUCUGAGUGUUUAUAGACUGGCCCCAUUUCCAGUUCAUUCUCUUUCUGCUUCCUGCCAUGCCCUCCCAACCACUAUGAACUAC